RNAcentral lists this ribosomal RNA (468 nucleotides) under uncultured bacterium. Its description in RNAcentral is "partial 16S ribosomal RNA". It matches the Rfam family "Bacterial small subunit ribosomal RNA", at positions 28 to 507 of the family's 1533-position model. The record is from RNAcentral.
GACGAACGCUGGCGGCGUGCUUAACACAUGCAAGUCGAACGGAAAGGCCCUGCUUUUGUGGGGUGCUCGAGUGGCGAACGGGUGAGUAACACGUGAGUAACCUGCCCUUGACUUUGGGAUAACUUCAGGAAACUGGGGCUAAUACCGGAUAGGAGCUCCUGCUGCAUGGUGGGGGUUGGAAAGUUUCGGCGGUUGGGGAUGGACUCGCGGCUUAUCAGCUUGUUGGUGGGGUAGUGGCUUACCAAGGCUUUGACGGGUAGCCGGCCUGAGAGGGUGACCGGCCACAUUGGGACUGAGAUACGGCCCAGACUCGUACGGGAGGCAGCAGUGGGGAAUAUUGCACAAUGGGCGGGAGCCUGAUGCAGCAACGCCGCGUGCGGGAUGACGGCCUUCGGGUUGUAAACCGCUUUCGCCUGUGACGAAGCGUGAGUGACGGUAAUGGGUAAAGAAGCACCGGCUAACUACGUG